This 778-nucleotide ribosomal RNA is filed under the name uncultured Neocallimastigales. RNAcentral describes it as "partial large subunit ribosomal RNA". It matches the Rfam family "Eukaryotic large subunit ribosomal RNA", at positions 25 to 614 of the family's 3401-position model. Lineage: Eukaryota; Fungi; Neocallimastigomycota; Neocallimastigomycetes; Neocallimastigales. The record is from RNAcentral.
UCGUCUAUAUACGUAUAGCAUAUCAAUAAGCGGAGGAAAAGAAACUAACAAGGAUUCCCUUAGUAACGGCGAGUGAAGCGGGAAGAGCUCAAAUUUGAAAUCUUCAAGGUUCUACCUUGACGAAUUGUAGUUUAAAGAAGUGUUUUCUGUUAGAGGAGUAGCAAAAGUUCUUUGGAAUAGGGACAUCAUAGAGGGUGAGAAUCCCGUAUUUGGUCAUUCUUUCUAGCUUUGUGAUACACUUUCAAAGAGUCGGAUUGUUUGGGAAUGCAGUCCAAAAUGGGUGGUAAAUUUCAUCUAAAGCUAAAUAUUGGCGAGAGACCGAUAGCGAACAAGUACCGUGAGGGAAAGAUGAAAAGAACUUUGAAAAGAGAGUUAAACAGUACGUGAAAUUGUCAAAAGGGAAGCGUUUGACACCAGUGUUGUUUUUCCGAAAAUCAAUUAAGAAUGGCUUGAUUUUGUGUUGUAUUGACCUUAUCAGCUUUCUUCACUCUUUUUCGAGUCUUUCUUAAUGCACUUUUCGGUUAACAAGUCAACAUCAAUUUCUUUUGUUGUAAAAGGGUAUUUGGAAGGUGGCUUUCUUUUCGGAGAAAGUGUUUAUAGCCUUAUACCUCUACAAUCGGAGAGAUUGAGGUCUGCAGCGUAGAUCCUUCGGGAGCUAGAUACACUUGUGCUAAGUUAUAGCUUUUCAUAGACAACUUGUUGACUAUGUUUAGUCAUGUAGCUUACCCGCUUGUGCUAUUUUACCUACGCUUAGGAUGUUGAGUCAUCACACAUCUCU